AGUGAACGCUGGCGGUAGGCCUAACACAUGCAAGUCGAACGGCAGCACAGUAAGAGCUUGCUCUUACGGGUGGCGAGUGGCGGACGAGUGAGGAAUACAUCGGAAUCUACUUUUUCAUGGGGGAUAACGUAGGGAAACUUACGCUAAUACCGCAUACGACCUACGGGUGAAAGCAGGGGAUCUUCGGACCUUGCGCGAUUGAAUGAGCCGAUGUCGGAUUAGCUAGUUGGCGGGGUAAAGGCCCACCAAGGCGACGAUCCGUAGCUGGUCUGAGAGGAUGAUCAGCCACACUGGAACUGAGACACGGUCCAGACUCCUACGGGAGGCAGCAGUGGGGAAUAUUGGACAAUGGGCGCAAGCCUGAUCCAGCCAUACCGCGUGGGUGAAGAAGGCCUUCGGGUUGUAAAGCCCUUUUGUUGGGAAAGAAAAGCAGCAGGUUAAUACCCCGCUGUUCUGACGGUACCCAAAGAAUAAGCACCGGCUAACUUCGUG
This 492-nucleotide ribosomal RNA is filed under the name uncultured bacterium. Its description in RNAcentral is "partial 16S ribosomal RNA". It matches the Rfam family "Bacterial small subunit ribosomal RNA", at positions 29 to 507 of the family's 1533-position model. The record is from RNAcentral.